RNAcentral lists this long non-coding RNA (671 nucleotides) under Homo sapiens (human). RNAcentral describes it as "non-protein coding lnc-DALRD3-6:1". The record is from RNAcentral. Lineage: Eukaryota; Metazoa; Chordata; Mammalia; Primates; Hominidae.
GCUUGCGGGGCGCUCCCAGCUGCCAGCCCGCUGCACCUAUCGCGGACUCUGUUUCGCCGACCCGGAGUUUGUCGGGCCCGGCGGCUCGAACCUUGUGGUUUUUUAUUUGACGGGGCAGAUGGAGUCAGUACACAAUAAAUAACAUGAAUAUAGGAACUGCGCCGUAUCGCGGCUGGCGGGGUGGGGCAAGACAUUGGCCAGACCUUUAGUCUGCAGCAGGACAGAAGGACAGCCGGACCCCUGAUCUUGGGCAACUGGCGACCCGCGGCUGGGAACCGGGGCUAACUCUUCCCUCAGAGUUCCACGCGCGCAUCGCGGUAGGCCCGGUCCAGAGCCCACUCGGGCUGUGAGUCGGUGCCCCCUUCUCGGGCAAGGCGGGCCAUCUCCUGUUGGAACAGCGCUUGCCGCGCUCGGCUGGGGUCCACAUUAAUCCAGUUGUUGGCAAUCCACUUGGUGCCGCGCGUGACCAGGCAGCCCCCGUGCAGCGAGUAGUCGUCUACGUCACCCACCCAACCUAGAAGAGGAGGGUGACGUGAGAUCCUAGGCUGGGCUGGCCAGAGCUUGGCCUCAUAGGCACCAAGAGCAUGACCAAGGUGGGUCCAGCUAUGCAUUCCUUGUGUAGCAAACACCCAGACCUAAAGCUUCCUUGGAGGCUCCUCAUCUCAGCCCAC